Molecule: long non-coding RNA, 42068 nt
Filed under: Jatropha curcas
Lineage: Eukaryota; Viridiplantae; Streptophyta; Magnoliopsida; Malpighiales; Euphorbiaceae
Description: long non-coding RNA (JCUR_LNC002482)
Source: RNAcentral
CAUCUUCUUCCUAUUCAUUCACCAAACAUGGGCUAGCUUGGCAAACGCAAUAAAUAGUGGAUCAGAGAUUUUGCUAAUUUAAUUAAAAUCGGAGGCGCAGCCAUAUUUUUUUAAGUAUUUUCUUUACCAAUUCUAUUCUUAUUGGAAGAUUCUAAACAUAAAACGGAGAUCCUGUGAGACAGCUACAAAAAUUAUCUACAUCUUCAAAGCUAAAAAGGGGUGAAAAAAAAGUCUUCGCCAUUUUUAUAUAUAUUCUCGGUCUUUUAAGUAAGUUUUUCUUUUUUAAAAAAAAAAACGGAGGUUACAAGCAAACAAACAAAAUAAAAAGGGUUAGAUUGUGUUCACUCAUGGAAAAUUGAAGUAGUUUUUCAAGAAAAUUGAAAAAUAUGGUUUUAUGUUUAAAUCAUUCAAUUUUUUAUUUGGAAAACUAGAAAACAGAUUUUCAGUUUUCCAAAAUUUAACUAAAAUUUAGAAAACAAUCUUAAAUUGUUUUCCACAGUUUUCCUUUACAACAAAAGACAUGUUUUUAACUAUUUUUCAUUUUUAUAAAAUGACAUUUUCAUAACUAUAAAAUAUUUUUAUUGAUUAAAUAAAAAUAUUUAAAUAACAUAAAAAAAAUAUUAUGCUUUAAUAUAUAAUUAAUUUUAUCAUUACAAAUAUAUUAUAUUCUUUAUUUUCAAAAAAUUUUAAAUUGAUAUUAUUAUUAUAAAUAAUCGAUAAUAAAAAUUAAAAAUUUUUUAAAAAAAUUUUAAAGUUACUUUAUAAUAUUUUAUUUUAAUUAUGAAAGUUAUGAAUAAUGUUUAUGAAGUUUUUAAAUUAAAAUAUAAUUUUUUAUUGUUACUAAGUGUCACGACCCGUUUCCAUGGGCCGGACCGCAUUAGGGCCCAGAUAAGCUUAAGGCCCCCAACACUAGUAGUAAGCUUGAAUCACUAAAAUUCAACUAUCUUAAUAUGAAUUUCUGCCAUUCAGUCCAUAUUACCAUACUCAAUAAACCUCAUAAUUAUAUUAUAUUUCUACCCCAAAUUCAACAUUUUACACAUUUCAUAGUCCGUGCCCAAUUUAUAAUACAUUAGAUUUAUAAUAUGGGCUCAUAAAACCAUUUCACCUAUGUUAAUACACAAUUAGAGGUACAUAAAACCUACAACUGCGGAGUUUACUAACAGAUAAAUACCAAUAAGUCCUCGUACAUAUAACUAAUUAAUGAAUUAAUUUCUGAAAUUAGAAAGUUCUUUCCUAGCUCUGUGGUGAAAGGAACAGAGCUUUAACCAGGAUAUAGAAGAAUCUACUUCCUGAAAGUUUAAACAAGAGAGAUGUGAGUUUAUUAAUGAAUAAUAAUUAUUGCAUAACACAUGCAUUCACACGAAUAUGUAAAUAUAUCAAUCUAGUCAUCCGACUAGAUAUAUGAGCAUGCAGGCAAUCACGCAAAUGGCACAAUAAUAGCAAUCACAAUUAUUAACACCUUCACAUAAUCACAUCAUGUGGAAAUUGGUUUGUGGCGUCACCGAAACUCCUGAUGAGCCAUCCUCCCACAUAACCCAUCCUCUAUUGACGUGUGCCCCAGGGAGCCGAUCCCCCAUACAUGGUCGACCGGUCUGAUCCUCCCUUGACCAGCCCUCUCAUUUCUUUUAUACUCUCUUUUCUUUUCCAUACCAACAGGAGGCCACCCUGUAGUUUUCCAAAUCAUCCAUAUCAUAUAAUCAAGUAUCACCCAUAUCAUAUCAUCAGGUGCACACGGGGGCGCCGAUCUUCCCAUUCCUGGCCGAAAUUCCAUAUUUUCAUCAUUUCCAAGACCAUCCUCAUAAACUCAUGGUGACCCAAUUCAUCCCGAUUCCACCCAAACAAAGCAUAGCAAUGCCACAACACAAAUAAUCAAAUACUGUAAUUACAUGCAAGCAUAUCAAGUAAUUAAAUAUCAUAAUGCAGGUGCACAAUUACACAUUCAUAUUCAAAUACAGAUAAUUACAGGAGUAUUAAUUAACAAUAUAAUAUAGUAAUUGAUUUUAAGAAAAUAAAUAAAUAAAUAAUAAUGAUAAGAAUAAAUAACUAAUAAAAAUAAAAAUAAAACUUUAUAUAUCAAGUUAAAGAAUUAAUCUAAAUAAACCUAUUAACUUAAUUAUUAAAUAUGACUAACCUAGAUUCUAUCGAAAUUUCGACAAAACCUUCCCUGAAAAUCGGAUUAAUCCGCGAUUUAAUAGCAAAUUCUCAAAGCUCAUCAAUAGGGCAAGUCGCAACAACUAAACCCAUCUGCCAUAACCAUAUUCAUCUAUCAUUCAUCUCACACACACAUAUAUGCACUUAAUAAUUCCAAACCAAUUAAUUAACAAAUUAUAUCAACCUCCGAGCAUGUUCUAAUGAUAUUAUUAAUUGUUUUAUAACUAAUUACCAAAUAACUAAAUAAUUUAUAAAUAAAAUAGAUUUCGACGAGUUAAAUACAGCUACUCUCACUUGAUAAUUUCUAGAUUUUUAAUCAUUAAGAAACUUUUCAUUACGCCUUUACUUCUUCAUCCUUACUUCAGGUAUAAACCUUAUUUACUUAAAAAUUCUAUGCUAGCUGCCAAGAACCAAUCUCAUUAAAGCUUCCACCCCUUAGAAAUCCUAAAUACUAACUUAAACUCAUAGCCUAACAUAUAUAAUAUCUAUAUCUUACUUGUCUAAGCCGUAGAUUAUAACUCUCCCUAACAUUAUUUAUUAAAAUUCCUAAGUUAACUAAACAUAAUUAUUAGCUAAGAAUUCUCAUUUCAACAUCAAUCUUCUAAUUAUAAUUAACAUUCAUGAAACAUAUUUAGCAAUAUUCAAAAUUAAUUUGCAGCUUAUAAUAUGCCACUAACUAAAUCCCAGCAAGAAUUGUAUCUAACUAAUUAUUUAUUCAAAUUCAAUUUAAUCAACUAUUAAUUUUAAAAUUUGAAAUUUAUAAUAAAAUUAGAAAAAUAGGACUCAGGACGUACCGAUCGAAAUUCGGGGAUGAUGCCAGACUCCAAGAGAGGAAGAAUCUGUCUCAUGGUGCCUCACCAGAGGCUCGCGGCCGAUCGCCAUACUGCCGUCGCAGCCGCCGUCCACGGUGGCCGUAAAAACGUGACUGCUCAGAAUCAGGAGCUCUUCACACCAUCUGGCUCGGUUUUCUGUCAGGAGUCCAUUUUUGGUGUUAGUUGCGCGGGAUCAGCCUUCUUUCGACCGGAGCGGGCUCGACAGGAGCCAAGUGCCACUGUUGAUGUCGUCGUUGACCGUCGAAAAGGGACUGUAGCUCGCCUACCUUGCAGCUCUCGCCGGAGUCGCGAGCGAGCAGAGGAUCGACGUUGAGCAGUGGCUGGAGGCUGGUGGCGCAGCUGCGAUUCGCUUGAAUGGAAACAGAGGGAGGAGGGGCUGACUGGGGACGGCAGAGAGAAGGCGGCGCAAUGAACUUCAUCCCACUCGUCUCCGGUGAUCGGAAAAACAAGAGAAAGAAGGAGAGGAGGAGGUUGGCGACGGGACUGUCGCUGUACCCAGAAAGAAGAAGAAAGAAAGAAGAAGAAGAGGAAAGAAAGAAAGAAAAAAAAAAUCUGGGCUUCUAAACUAUUCCGGUUCAAUUCGAACCGGUUUAGUCCAACUCAAUGAUUUGAUUCAAUUUUUGUUUGGGUUAUGAGUUUUUCUCUGGGUCUUAAAAAAAUCCAAACUGGUUUACUGGUCUGGUUUAACAGUAAUAAAAUAUUUUCCGCUGAAUUUCAUUAGUUGGAAUAAAAAUUUAGUUUUUAAAUGAAAAUUCUACGAAAUUGAAUUUUCGGGUCAUUUCACUAAGUGAACGUAUUUUUCAUUUUCUGCUUUCUAAUUUUCAUUUUAUAAGAAAACUGUUUUCUGUAGGUAAACACACCUUUAACAUGUGAUAAUACCUUGAAUUUUUUAGGUUUUUACAAUUUUAUUCUAUUUUUUUACUUCAAUUUCAAUAUUUUCUAGCAAUAGCACACUCAUUACAAUUAAUGAAAUUACAAUCAAUUACAAUUAAUGAAAUUACAAAUAAGUAAGCAUUUUCAAUAUUUUUAAAACAAAUAUAAUUUCAUUAGUCUUAUCCAAUUAAUAUUGCAAAGAUUAAAUUUUGAUUUUUAAAUAAAAGUGAUAAUUAAUAAUUUAGUAACGUAAAUUUUUGUUACUUAACAAAAAAAAUCAAAACAUGCAUAAAAAUUAAUUUAAUGAAACAUAAUCUUUUUAAUUACUUAUUUGCUUUUGUAUUAUCUAUAUUUUAAGGAGAAAAAAGAAAUUCUAAUUAUUGUAAUUUUUGGAUUGAUAACAUAAUAUAGUCAAAUUACUAAUUUAUUAUUUUUAUGUCUUGUCCUAUUAAUUUAAUUUUCUAAAUUCGCCCUCUCACUGUGACAUUGUAAAAUAUAUUAUAAAAGAAAAAUAUAAAUGACAGAACUUUUGACAUUAUAGGAUGUAAUUAAAAAUAAUAAAACUGCGGUUUAGGUUUUAAAUAUUAAAGUUUUAUGGUUCAGAAUUUAAGGCAUUGUAUUUUAGGAUCUACAAGUUUGUGUAAUUUUAUUAUUUUUAAUUUUAUUCUGUUUUACAAGAGUAAAAGAAAAAAAAAAAUUGUCAAAGCACGACAACGUCAAAGAACAGUUUCCUAAUCUCAUCUGGCUGCUUUCCAAAGUCAACUCCAGGAUCAAAUCAGUUUUAUCAUUGGCUGAAUAUAUAAAAUAAUUCUUUGAAUUUUUAUGAAAAAGUCUUGUGAUCCUCUAAAGUAGCAGAUUUGUUACCAUUGUACCCCUAUAACAAAGUGACCCUGAAAGUAGAGGAGGUCAAAGUCCUUUCGAUGAAAAAAAAGAUUAAGAUGAUUUUAUGUAUUCCGCUUAUUAUUAUUAUUAUUCUAACAACAAUUGCGAUGAAUAUUAUUAUUUUUAACCACAUAAAAGAAAAUAAAACUGACAAACUGAUUAUACUGAAAACGAAAAACAUUUCUUAUUUGGACCGGACUGAAUCCGAUUUCUAGUUACCCAACAUCAAGGAAGAGAAAAACAGUACAAACAAAUGCAGUUUCCCACCCAAAUCAAGGACAAUAGGAAUUUGCCACAACCCACAGAGGUGUUUUCUUGUGAAUAACAAAUGAAUAAAGCUCGCUCAUAUCCAAAUCCUCUGCUCUUGCUUCAUCAGGCAUCUCCCAAUCAAACCAAUACAGCAAAUUAGCUAUUACAUAUUCAAGUUCUGCGAAUGCAAAUGUCAUUCCAGGACAAGACCUUCUUCCAGUUCCAAAUGAAAGUAACAGCUUUUUAUGUUCUUCAUUAGAACCAUCUGAACUUUUAAGAAAUCUCUCUGGCAAAAACUCCUCUGGCCUAUCCCACAACGUUGGGUCCAUUUGAAUUGCCCACAAAUUAAUAAAUACUCUUGUUUUUGCUGGAAUGUCAUAACCUUUGAGCUUAACAUUUGCUGACGUUUGUCGAGGUAUUAUCAGAGAUCCAUGCAACCUUACUGUCUCUUUCAUUACACACUUCAAAUAUUCCAUUUGAUUUACAUCGGACUCAGUAAGCAUUGAUUUGGACUUUCCAACUACUCUUCUUACCUCUUCUUGAGCUUUCUUCAUUAUUCUUGGAUUCUUCACCAGCUCCGCCAUCAUAAAUUCCAUCAUUCCUGCUGUUGCUUCUAUUGCUCCUACAUACAUGUCCUGUAUAAUUCAUUGAACACCAAACCCAAUGUUGUCUUACCAUAAUGUAAAUACAAUAACAGUAACUAUCUCUUAACCCCAAACUAGUUAAUGUAGUUACCAAAAUGUAAAUAAUGAAAAAAAAAAAAUGAAAAAAAUAAAAAUAAAUAAAAAGCAAAGGAGAGACUAGCUACCAGAAGUAUUGCUUUGAUAUUGUCUUUAGAGAUAUCAAGCUCGCGCCCCUCCUUCCGAAGAUAAAGAAGAAUAUCUACUAAGUACUUCUGAUCUUCAGCUUUCUCAUUAUCGUUCAUUAAUGCCUCGCGUUCUUCGAUCACUCGAUCAAAGAACUCGUUUAAGUCUCGUGUAAGCGUUUUCAAGUUUCUAACUAAUCCAGUAAGAUGAUCAAUCCAUCCCAAGAAGGGAAACAAAUCUUUAAAGCAGAAAGCUGAUAAAAGAUCCAAUGUCUUUCUUGCCAUUUUGUCGAAACUCUUAUUCUUACCAUUUUGAUUUUCAUAUGCGGAACCAAAGGCUGAUUUUGAUAAUAUAUUAUGUGCAAGACUCAUAAGCACGUCAGUCAUAUUAAUUGGAGCUCCAUUAACGCUUAAAGUGCGAAUCUUUUCAACUAUUUUCUCAACUUCUUCCUCUCUUAUAAAUUGAAACUGUCGAACUCUUUUGUUGCUCAAAAGUUGAACAACACAAAGCUUCUUUGCAUCCCUUGAGUAGUCGCUGUAAGGGCCAAGUGCCAUGUCAGGGCUUCCAUUCAACACGAUCCCUACACCAGUCAAAGUAGGCCUAUCUGCAUAAAUAAUAUCAUGGUUUUUGGUAAUUUCUUUAACCACUUCUAAAGAAGAAGCCACAAGAGUAGGAACUUGGCCUAAGCGAAGAAACAUUAAAGGACCAUACUUUUCAGAAAGGGUUCUGAAAGUUCUGUGAGGAAGUGCACUCAUCUGGUGAAGGUUUCCAAUUAUGGGUAAUGUUGGUGGAGACGGUGGUAGGUUUAGUUUGUGAGUAUUUCUUUUAUGUUUAAAUAAAAGCAGAAAAGAAAGGACUAAAACAAAACAGAAUAAAAAGGGAUUGAACAGAGAUAUCUUUCCUGGUUCUUGCGACCACAGUUGAAGAAAAGUAAGAGUAUCCAUUGCAGGUACUGAUUUUUCAGAUACUAAUGUAGGGACAAACGCAGAGUUGUUUUGGUAUUUAUCGCAGAAGUCCGAACGCGUCACAGAUAUAUAACAAUAAAGUUUGACGCUGUCAAAUCAUCAUAGUAAAUUGUAAAACUGAAGAAUUCCUCAUCUGCGUGAGAUUUUUCUAAUUUAACUAAAAUUUACAAUUGGAGGCGCAUCCCAAGUUUGACAUUGUACGAACACAUCACACACAGAGGCGAUGAAUAUCGAGUUGUUAUAUGGUGAAAUCGAGUUCCGUGCAAGAUUACAUAAAAUGGAAGUCAAUAGUAAAUAAAUAAUUAUAAUAUCUACUUUAAAAAUAACUAUCAAUUACAUAUAUAAAUAUUUUUUUUUUGAAAUAUGUUUUUUUGUCAGCACAAUUUACUUUAUUAAUUAAAAAAUUCAAGAAAAAAUUUUACUACACGUAUUACACAACAUUAACUCUUUCUUAAUUUGAAAAGAGAUGAAGAAAAAUAUUAAAAAAAGAAAAACAAUAAAAGAAAAUAAUAAGAAAUUAUCAAAUUUAUUAAAAAAUUAUUAUUAUUGAAAAUUAACAAUUGUUUCAUCACUUAAAUAAUUGGGUACUUAAGAAAUAGUUAAAAUUUGUUAAUAAUUGAGGCAUUUAGGUAAUUUAAUAAAAAUGAGUCAAAUUUCAACUUUCCUUCAUUAUUUCCAAAAUAAGUGAAAUAUUACUGACAUUUAUAUUUUGCUUCUAAAGCAAGAGUAAUGUGAAAUACUCUCGUCCAAAUAAAGGGUAAAAGAAAAAUAUAUAAUGUGAAAUGACGAAAUUAUAUAUAUAUUCUUAACGAGAUUAGGAUUUUCAAUUAUGGGUUUUACUCCUUUUUAUAUGUGGUAAGAAUAUACGUAGCGUUUUAUGAUAAUAUUACCCGCAAAUAUUUUUACCCAUAAAUAUUUCCUUUUGAGUUUUGGAAAAGAGAUUUAAAUUUAAAUUUAUAACCGGGGCGUAUAUGCACUUAUUACUGGAUUGUGCUUUGGCGUGCCACAAAUAUUUCCUUUUGUUGUCCUUUUUUAUUUUUCCACUUCCUAAAACAUUAAUAACUUGUUCAAGAUUUAUGUAUAGAGAUGCAAUAAGAAUCAUUUGAAAACGAAUUAGUAUUUGACAUUGUUAAAACAUAUUAUAAAACCAUAGAUUUCAACGGAUAGGAUCAUCUGACGUGAGAUUUUGCUAGUUUAUUUAAAAUUUACUUGUGGCGGUCAAGUUCCGCUGUCUUCUACCUGCUAUUGGAAACGCAACCCAAGUUUUCAGCUCUUCUAUCUCUUUCUAGUUUUUAUUUAUUCUGAGAAAGUUCUUUUCGGUUCAAGCAAACGAAAAAGCUUUUCCAACAAUUAAUUAACAAUAUAAAAAUUGGACUAUUUGACUCUUUUUUUUUAAUAACGAAGAUAGGGAAUAAAAAAAAAUUACUUAUUAAUUGUAUUGGUGAAUAGAAUGGAAGGAAAAUUUUUACAAAUGUAUUUGGAAUUUCAGAAAAUACAAGUGUUGUAAGCAAUAAUGGAAAUAUGAAAUUUUUGUUAUCCGGAGGAUCUUACCUGAAUACUAUCUUAUCCCAUACUAUUUCAUCCCACACAUGAAAACAUGUAUUCAAGCCAAAAAAAAAAAAAAAAUCUUAAUUAAAUAGAAAUAUAAAUAUAUUACUUCACCUUUUGUAUUUUUUUUUAUUUACAUUUAUAAUUAUGCUUAUAAGUUACAAGUCAUACACGUACAAAUUUAAUUUAUUAAUUAUUAUAAAAGCUAAAAAAAAAUUUUCCAUUCAGCAAUAAGAUGGUAUUAUGAAUUAGUUUUCAUUCACAGUUUCUCAAUUAAUUAGUGGAAUGUCAAUUAAUUAAUGUUUGCUUGAGAAAUUAUUGCAGAGCUAUCUUUCAUAAGGCACUUUAAAUGUUCUAUUUGACUUAUAUGUAUCAGCCUCAUUCACCUUUGAUUUGGAGUUUCUAAUCAGCUGGUUUCAAUUAUUCUUGGAUUUUUCACUAGUUCUAGCUCUAGCUCUGGCAUUUGGAUUUAUCCGUUUUAUUUAUAGAUGGAAUAUAAAAUUACAGUAAAAAACAAUUGAUCCGAGAGAGUUUGCUUUGCAGAAAAUCAAACUCAUGACCUAAAUUAUAGUGAUCAAUCUUACAAGUAUUCUUUACCUUUGAACUAUUUUGUUCGGAUUAUGAAUAGGAAUUUAUUAACAGCUAAAUAUGUUAAUAAUUUUUAAUAUUUUAUUUUUUAUGUUGAUGUUUACCGGUCAGUGUAAAACGGAUUUGUGUUUACUUUUCUUCUCUUGGUCAGAAUUCAAAAACUUAAUGCCAAGGUGAAAGGGACACAAAUCAUAUAAAACUAGCUAUAGAUAUAAUGUUUCUUACUUCGGUUUGAAUUGCAAAAACUUGACAAAAAAGGUGAGAGGACCAGAAAUGAAAGAGACAAGAAUAUAAAUAAAAGAAAAAAAGUAUGAAAUAUAUAGAAACUGCUUAGAUAAUCAAUUCAAUUAAUUUAAAAAAAAAACAACAAUUUGACUGACUUCUUAACGUCUGUGAUUAAGUUGAUUAUGUCAUGGGAUAUAAUUUAGAAAUAUAAAAAUAUUUCAUUUAAUUUAUUUCAUAAUAAAUCAUAUCCUCGCUUGUGGACCAAAUCAAUGAAAGUAAGAAAAGUUGUGUUCUGACUUUAUCCUUUUUUUUUUUUAAUAUUAGUCAAAAAUAUUCUGAUUUCAAUAAAAAUUCUUAACUUUAUUAGUUUGGUUUAUAAAUGUAUUAUGAAAUCAGUUUAAAUAAAAUUUUUCCUUAUCUAACCGACAAUGUUUUCCUCUCUAUCCAUCUCUCUCUUCUUUUCCCUCUUCCCUUCAUUUUCUCAUUAAACAAACAGCAGGUUAGGUCAUUGCAUGUCCACAGUAAAAACAAAAAGUUUCAUCGUCGUCCAUUGACGAGGAAAGUUUUGUUUCCUGUCUAAUUCCAAGUUGAACUUAGCGUGUCGUCCACAAUUAACUCCAUCAAAUUCGUUAUGACAAGUUGAUUAGGAUAAAUUUUUCAUUCAGCCAAUGACUAAGAUGCAUAUUUUUAACCACAAAAAAAGAAAAUAAAAAGGAAAUUCUGAAUCACUAAUUUCUGCACAGGACGGGAUCAGAUUUCAAGUUCCCCAACAUCAAGAAACACAACAUACAGUGCCUACGAAUGCAAUUCCCCAUCCGAAUCAAGGAGAAUAAGAAUGUGCCACAACCCAAAGAGGUGUUUUCUUGCGAAUAGCAAAUGUACAAAUUUCGCUCAUAUCCAGAUCCUCUCCUCUUGCUCCAUUAGGCAACUUCCAAUCAAACCAAUACAGCAAAUUAGCUAUUGCGUAUUCAAUUUCUGCAUAUGCAUAUGCCAUUCCAGGGCAAACCCUUCUUCCAGUUCCAAAUGAAAAUAACAGUUUCUUGUGUUCUUCUUUAGAGUCAUCUGAACUAUUAAGAAAUCUCUCUGGCAAAAACUCCUCAGGCCUAUCCCACAAGGUCGGGUCCAUAUGAAUUGCCCAUGUAUUAAUUAUUACUCUUGUUUUUGCUGGAAUGUCAUAGCCUUUAAGCUUAACAUUUGCGGACGUUUGACGAAGUAUUGCUGCAGAGCCAUGAAACCUUACUGUCUCUUUCAUUACACACUUUAAAUAUUCCAUUUGAUUUAUAUCAGAUUCAGUUAUCUUUGAUUUGGUUUUUCCAACUACUCUUCUUAUCUCUUCUUGAGCUUUCUUCAUUAUUCUUGGAUUCUUCACCAGCUCUGCCAUCAUCCACUCCAUUAUUGCUGCUGUUGUAUCUGAUCCUCCGAGAAACAUGUCCUGUAUUGAUUAAACACCAAAAUCUAAUGGUAUCUUACCACAAAUAUAAAUAAAUUUAUAAAACAUAUAUACAAGGGGAAGAGAGACUAGCUACCAGAAGUAUUGCUUUAAGGUUGUCUUUAGAGAGAUCAAGCUUGAGCCCCUCGUUUCGAAGAUAAAGAAGAAUAUCUACUAGGUACUUCUUAUCUAUAGCUUUCUCAUUAUCAUUCAUCAAUGCCUCGCGUUCUUUGAUCACUCCAUCAAAGAACUCGUUUAAUUCUUCUGUAACCAUUUUCAGGUUUCUAAUGGAUCCAGUAAGAUGAUCAAUCCAUCCCAAGUAGGGAAACAGAUCUUUAAAGAAGAAAGUUGAUAGAAGAUUCGUUGUCUUUCUUGCUAAUUCGCCAAAACUCUUAUAAUUACCAUUUUGAUUUUCAUAUAGGGAACCAAAGGCUGAUCUUGAUAAUAUAUUAUGUGCAAGACUGGUAAACAUGUCACUUAGAUUAAUCGGAGCUCCGAUAUUCACGGUUGAAAGGCGUAUCUCUUCAACUAUUUUCGCAACUUCUUCUUCUCUUAUGAAAUGAAACUGUUGAACUCUGUUUUGGCUCAAAAGUUGAAGAACACAAAGCUUCUUUGCAUCCCUUGAAUAGUCGCUGUAUGGGCCAAGUGCCAUGUCAGGGCUUCCAUUCAACACGAUACCUACACCAGUCACAGUAGGCCUAUCUGCAAAAAUAAUAUCAUGGUUUUUGGUAAUUUCUUUAACCAGUUCUAAAGAAGAAACCACAAGGGUAGGAACUUGUCCUAAGCGAAGAAACAUUAAUGGGCCAUACUUUUCAGAAAGGGAUGUAAAAGAUUUGAAAGGAAAUGCAUUUAUCUGGUAAAGGUUUCCAAUUAUGGGUAGUUUUGGUGGAGAUGGUGGUAGAUUUAGUUUGUAAUUAUUUCUUUUGGGUUUAAAUAAAAGCAGAAACGAAAGGAGUAUGACAAAACAGAAGGAGAAGGGAUUGAAUAGAUACGUUUUUCCUGGUUCUUGCCACCAUUGUUGAAGAAAAGUUAGCGAAUCCAUUUUCAUUUUUGUAGAUAUUGAUGUAGAGAAAAAGAUUUGUUUUUUGUAAUCAUAGCAAGGUUCUUUAAACCGAUAACAAUGUAUAUAUAUAUAUAUUGUAACCGGCUCUACUGUCUGAAUUCUUGUUGAAAGAUGCUGAAAAUGAAACGGAGAAUCUGUCACGUAUGACCUAAUGUUUUAGUGCCAAAACUUGUCUACGUCUCGAAAGUGGCGAAAGAGAAAAAGACACAUCUCCGUUUUUAUUACUAUUUCAUCCCUAUAUUUUGAUAAUAUUAACUGCUUCAUACUUGUACUUUCUAAAAUAUAUAAUUUCAUCUUUAACUUUUAACUCGUCUAACUCUUUGGUCCUUCAAUCUAUUUUUUUUUGAGUUUUGUCAUUAAUUUAUAUUAAAAAGACAAAAACACCAUUGGUUAAGUCUCAUAGCAAUGGAUGACUUGACACCAAAAUAAAGUCAUACAAUUUUUUUCUGAAAAAUGCUGAUAAAAAAAAUUAUCUGAAAAAUCAUGAUAAUAUAAAAUACAUGAUGAGUAAUAUAUAUAUAUAUAUAUAUAUAUAAAAUUAAGAUAUGAAAAGUAUCUAAAUAAAAUUAACAAAGAAACAGAAUUAAGGUAACAAAAAGUUUACUCUCAUUCACAAAUUUUGUCUAACGAUAUUUUAGUCUGUGAUAGAAGUGGACAUACAAUAUGUGAAAAUUUAAAAAACAAAGACUCUCCAUUAAAAUUUAAAAAAUAUACAAGAUCUAAUAAGAAAAAUCUAAAGCACACUAAUUCAUUAUUAAGCGAUAAAUGCAUAUACAAUCUGACAAUAGAUUUAAUUUCGAAUUCUCUUUCUAAUACUUAAAAAAAAAAUUUAAAAAACAAUAUAUUCUAUAUUCAGAACAUUAAAAAAAUAAAAUAAACACAACUUUAUUAUUAUUAAAGAGAAUAUGAAUAAGAGAAACUACAUUUCUUUCAAAAAAAUAUUUUAUUUUGAAAAAUAUUUUUCUGCAGUUAUUUUAUAAAAACAAAUGAAGCCAAAAUGUAUUAACUUUUGCUGAUAAAUAAAUAUGAAUAAUUAGAUAUCUCUACCUCAUCUUUUAUUCUCUCUCACUUUUCUCUUUAAAUUUUUUCUCUCUUGAUCUCUGUCUUCUCCUCUUCUCUAUUAUUUUCCCUCUCUUUCCUUCAUUUUCUCAGUAAAAAAUCAGCAGGCUAGAUCGUUGCAUGUUUACAAUACUUAACAAAAAGUUUCCCCAUCAUCAUUUGACUAGGAAAAUUUCCUUCCUGUCUAAUUCCAAGUUGAACCCCAUAGGACUCAUUAUGACAACUCCAUUGGGAUGAAUUUUUUGUUCAGCCAACAAUUGAAAUGAAUAUUUUUAACCACACAGAAAAGAAAAGAUUGAACCACCGAUUUAAAAUAAAUUUGUAUAUUACACAAAGGAAAACUGAACCACUGAUUUAUACUAAAGAAGACUGAAAUAUGUUCCUUAUUGUUUGGACUAGACUGGAUCAGAUUUCAAGUUCCUAGCAUCAACAAAGACAAAAUUAACUACACACAAAUGCAAUUUCCCACCCAAAUCAAGGACAAUAGGACACUGCCACAACCCAAAGAGGUGUUUUCUUGCUAAUAGCAAAUGUACAAAUUUCGCUGAUAUCCAGAUCCUCUCCUCUUGCUCCAUUAGGGAACGCCCAAUCAAGCCAAUACAGCAAAUUAGCUAUUGCAUAUUCAAUUUCUACAUAUGCAUAUGCCAUUCCAGGGCAAACCCUUCUUCCAGUUCCAAAUGAAAAUAACAGUUUCUUGUGUUCUUCAUUAGAAUCAUCUGAACUAUUAAGAAAUCUUUCCGGCAAAAACUCCUCAGGCCAAUCCCACAACGUCGGGUCCAUAUGAAUUGCCCAUAAAUUAAUCAGUACUCUUGUUUUUGCUGGAAUAUCAUAGCCUUUAAGCUUAACAUUUGCUGAUGUCUGUCGAGGUACUACUCCAGAUCCAUGAAACCUUACUGUCUCUUUCAUUCCGCACUUUAAAUAUUCCAUUUGACUUAUAUCAGACUCAGUUAUCUUUGAUUUGGAGUUUCCAACUACUCUUCUUAUCUCUUCCUGAGCUUUCUUCAUUAUUCUUGGAUUCUUCACUAGCUCUACCAUCAUAAACUCCAUUGUUGCUGCUGAUGAGUCUAUUCCCGUCAUGAAUCCUGUAUUAAGUAAUCAAAAAACAUAAUGUUAACUUAAGUACCACGAUAUAAAUAAAUUAAAAAUAUAUGUAUACAAUAGGAGAAGAGGGACUAGCAACCAGAAGUAUUGCUUUAAUGUUGUCUAUAGAGAGAUCAAGCUCGAGCCCUUCCUUUCGAAGAUAAAGAAGAAUAUCUACUAAGUACUUCUUAUCUUCAGCUUUCUCAUUAUCAUUCAUUAAUGCCUCGCGUUCUUUGAUCACUCGAUCAAAGAACUCGUUGAGUUCUUCUCUAAGCAUCUUCAAGUUUCUAAUCAAUCCAGUAAGAUGAUCAAUCCAACCUAAGUGGGGAAACAAAUCUUUAAGGCAGAAAGCUGAUAAAAGAUUCAUUGUCUUUCUUGCUAAUUCACGGGCUUAUAGUUACCACUUUGAUCUUCGUACAGGGAACCAAAGGCUGACCUUGAUAAUAUAUUAUGUGCAACACUCAUAAUCAUAUCGCUCAUAUUAAUUGGAGAUCCAUUCACGCUUGAAUGGCGUAACUUUUCAACUAUUUUCCCAACUUCUUCUCUUCUGAACUGAAACUGGUGCACUCUUUUGUGGCUCAAAAGUUGAAGGACACAAAGCUUCUUUGCUUCCCUUUAGUGGUCACAGUAAGGACCAAAUCCCAUGUCAAGGCAUCCAUUGAACACAAUACCUACACCAGUGAAAGAAGGCCUAUUUGCAAAAAUGAUAUCAUGAUUUUUGGUAAUUUCUUUAACAAUUUCUAUAGAAGAAACCACAAGAGUAGGAACAUGGCCAAACGCAGAAGCACUUAAGGGCCAUACUUACUAGAAAGGGAUCUGAAGGAUUUGUGAGGAAGUGAACUUAUCUGGUAAAGGUUUCCAAUUAUGGGUAACCUUGAUAGAGAUGGUGGUAGAUUUAGUUUGAAACUAUCUCUUUUUGUGUUAAAUAAAAGCAGAAAAGAAAAGAAUGUAAUAAAACAGAAGAAAAAGGGAUUGAAUAGAGAUGUUUUUCCUGGUUCUUUCCACCAUUGUUGAAGAAAAGUUAGCCAAUCCAUUUUGGUUUUUUUUUUUUUUCUUGUGCUGUUGCAGACGAGUUUGUUUUCUACAUAUCGCAAAUGGCUAUAUAAAAUGAUGACGACAAAUAAUAAUAAUAAUAAUAAUUUGUGCUUUUAACAUUUUUGUGACCCUUUGUUGUCUGUUUUCUCAUUGAAAGAUGCUAUCCCAACCUGAAUCUGAUGGAUAGAUUAUACUUUCUUAGAUUAGAUCUACAGUGAUCACCCAUAAACUAAAAACCAAAUUAAUAAAAAUAGAAAUUUUUAAAAAAUUAUAUCUAUUUUAUAUUUUUUUAUUAUAUAUAAUUAGAAAUAUUCUCGUUUUAAUAAAAAAAUUUUUAUUUGAUCCGUUGUCAUGGGUGAGGCUGUAGAUGCAAUUGAGACAAGUGGAUCCUCUGUAAUCUAAAUCUAAAAUAUUAUUUUAGUGCCAAAAAUCAAAAAAAAAGUUUUCCCACAUAAAUAUUAACAGAUAAUUAAGAUGGAUUGGACCUGCAGAAUGGCGCAUGUGAACCGCGAAGCCAGCAUAUCGUUUGAAAAUAACAUAAAAGUAUUUCCUUAUCGUCAGUCGAGGAAAGGAAAAUUUUCCUUCCCGUCUAAUUCCAGUUGAACUCAACUCGCUCUCAUCCACAAUCAACUCCGUCAAACUCAUUAUGACAAGUCGAUUAGCAUUAAUUUUUCAUUCAGGAAACAAUUGAGAUAAAUAUUUUUAACCACACAAAUGAAAAAUAUUAAAAACUGAACCGUUGAUUUAUAUUGAAAGAGAAAUAUAUGUUCUUAUAUAUUGUUUGGACUUUGGACUGGACUGUAACAGAUUCGAAAUUCUCCAACACGGAGAAAGACAAACUAAAGUCCAAAUCAAGGAAAAUAGGAAUGUGCCACAACCCAAAGAGGUGUUUUCUUGCGAAUAACAAUGGUAAUAACUUCGCUCAUAUCCAAAUCUUCUACUCUUGCUCCAUCAGGCAACUCCCAGUCAAACCAAUACAGCAAAUUAGCAAUUGCAUAUUCAACUUCUGCAUAUGCAUAUGACAUUCCAGGGCAAACCCUUGUUCCAGUUCCAAAUGAAAAUAACGGAUUUUUUUGUUCUCCAUCAGAAUCAUCUGUACUGUCAAGAAAUCUCUCUGGCAAAAACUCCUCAGGCCUAUCCCACAAAGUGGGAUCCAUAUGAAUUGCCCAUGUAUUAAUUAUUACUCUUGUUUUUGCUGGAAUGUCGUAGCCUUUAAGCUUAACAUUUGCUGAUGUUUGUCGAGCUAUUGCUCCAGAGGCAUGAAACCUUAGUGUCUCUUUCAUUACACACUUUAAAUAUUCCAUUUGAUUUAUAUCAGAUACAGUUAUAUUUGAUUUGGAGUUUCCAACUACCCUUCUUAUCUCUUCUUGAGCUUUCUUCAUUAUUCUUGGAUUCUUUAUCAACUCUGCCAUCAUAAACUCCAUUGUUGCUGCUGUUGUGUCUACUCCUGCAACGAACAUGUCCUGUAUUGAUAAACACCAAACCUAGUGUUACCUUACCACAAAAAUUUAAAAAAAAAAAUUGAAAAACUAUGUAUAUAUAUAUAUAUAUAUAUAUAAGGAGAAGAGAGACUAGCUAGCUACCAAAAGCACUGCUUUAAGGUUGUCUUUAGAAAGAUGAAGCUCCUGCUCCUCCUUUCGAAGAUAAAGAAGGAUAUCUAUUAAGUAAUUCUUAUCUUCAACUUUCUCAUUAUCAUUCAUCAAUGCCUCGCGUUCUUUGAUCACUCGAUCCAAGAACUCAUUUAAUUCUUCCGCAAUCAUUUUCAAGUUUCUAAUGAAUCCAGUAAGAUGGUCAAUCCAUCCCAAGUAGGGAAACCAAUCUUUAAAGCAGAAAGCUGAUAAAAGAUUCAUUGUCUUUCUUGCUAAUUCACCAAAACUCUUAUACUUACCAUUUUGAUCUUCAUAUAGGGAACCAAAGGCUGAUCUUGAUAAUAUAUUAUGCGCAAGACUGGUAAACAUGUCACUUAGAUUAAUCGGAGCUCCAUUCACGCGUUGUAUCCUUUCAACUAUUUUCUCAACUUCUUCUUCUCUUAUGAAAUGAAACUGUUGUACUCUUUUGUGGCUCAGAAGUUGAAGAACACAAAGCUUCUUUACUUCCCUUGAGUAAUCACAGUAAGGGCCAAAUGCCAUGUCAAGGCAUCCAUUCAACACAAUACCUACACCAGUCAAAGAAGGCCUAUCUGCAAAAAUAACAUCAUGAUUGUUGGUAAUUUCUUUAACCAUUUCUACAGAAGAAACCACAAGAGUAGGAACAUAGCCUAAGCGCAGAAGCAUUAAAGGGCCAUAAAUAUUAGAAAGGGAUGUGAAGGAUUUGUAAGGAAGUGCACUUAUCUGGUGAAGGUUUCCAAUUAUGGGUAAUUUUGGUGGAGAUGGUGGUAGAUUUAGUUUGUAAUAAUUCCUUGUUGUUUUAAAUAAAAACAGAAAAGAAAACAAUAUAAUAAAACAGAAGAAGAUGGGACAGAACAGAGAUGUUUUUCCUGGUUCUUGCCACCAUUGUUGAAGAAGAGUAAGUGAAUCCAUUUUUUUUUUUUUUUUAGAUACCGAUGUAGGGAAAACAAUGAACUGUGUUUGUGUUCAUAGAAAAAGGAGCUUUAAAAUGGUGAGAAAAAAAAAAAUAACGUUUUUAACUUUGUCACCUGCUCUCUGUAUUUUGUUGAAUUGAAGAUGCUAAACAUGAAACAGAGCAUCUGUCAUACGGGCCUAAUAUUUUAGUGCCAAAAUUCGUCUGCAUCUCAUAACGGCAAAAGACAAAAGUCUCCUCCAUUUUUAUAUAAUAUAUUCUCCUUCUUCUAAAACAAGGCAAUGAUAUAUAUAGUGUUGGACCAAUCCAGGAGCGUUGAGAUCAUGUGUUUUGGUAUUUUUUUUUAAGUGAGAUCGAAAAUUUGAUCAUCAUUGAUUAAGCAAAUACUCACUGAAAACACUAUACUAUUUUGUGAACAGACCAGUGCGAGAAAGAUCUAAUUUUAACCUAGUCUUAUACAGAUACUUGUGCUCAAGAAAAAAAAAAUGUUUUGACAUUGCCAAAAUACAUUAUAGAACUGUAGAAUAGGAUACCUACAAUCAUCUGAUUGUAACAUUUGUCCAACUAAAGUUGGCACAAGCCAUAGGUUUCAUCUCUUUCUACCCUCUUGCCACCAUUGUUGGAGAGUUUUGUACUGGAUUUAUUUUUUUCAACACGUAUAGUAUAUUUUGACUGUGGGUAAUAUUAUUGGGGUUAAAAGAUAAGAUGAGUUUUUCCAAUAUUCUAUAAUAAAAUACAACAUUCUGUAAAAAAAAAUUUAAGACAUAAUGAUCUAAAGAUAAAUAUUUUUAAAUUUAUUGUUAAAGGUAAGUGCAAAUAAAAUAUCCUUUUAUUAUGAUUCCACAUAAUACAUUAUUGUUUUGUAAAAUGUGGAUUCUUUUGUAAAGUGAUAAUUAAAAAAUACGUACUUUUGUUAAGAUUACAAUUUUAUUUUAUGAAAUGUAAUUUUUUUAAAAAGUUCAUUAAACUUAGUUAAAAUUCGUUAAAUUACAAAAUAACAUGUACUUUUGUUAAAAAUUCAUAAAAAAACGUUAUUGUUUCGUAAAAUGUGAAAAAACACGUUCUUUUAUUUUAGGUCUGUUUUGUAAAAGUUAUCAUUUGUUGUAUAAAAAGCACUUUUUUAUAUAUAUAUAAAUUUGGGCGACUUAAAUAAGAAGGGCUGGGCCUGGUCCUGGGCCUGGGCUUUUAAAAAAACAGGAUGUUUUAAACCUUUUAUCAGCGAAAUUUGCGUUAGGACGAAGCGAAAGUCACCCAAACACAGACACGAUACGUGUCCUUAAAUAAACGAAUAAACUCUAUCCUUACAUAUUUCCCUCUUCUGAGUUUGAUUCAUCAACGCUGCUUCACCCUAUUAUCGCAAUGACAAAGCUGUCCCUGCCCUGAACUUAACACUUUCGAAAAUCAUUCUGUCCACAUUAAGGACAAUAUCGUCUUUCGAUCCCAAUUCCAGCUUCAUCUUCCUUAUCAAUUAUCAUACCUAUCCCUAUCGAAUUCCCUGUCAACCCUAGAAUCGUCGAAAAUUCCAUCUAGAUCCUCGAUCGAUCAAUGGCGACUCUCUCUGCUUACUCCUCGCCUGCAUGGCCUAAUCCAAACCCUAACGCUACUCUUCUUUCUCCUUCGCAAGAAGACACGGAGAGUCUAGACUCCCAAUCCCAAUCAUAUGAUUCUCUUUCUUCAAUGAUGCCUCAAGAUCACCUUGCGGAUCAGCUUUCGCCUGCGAAACCCAACCCUAAUUACCACGCUCCGGUAUCUUCGCCACCACCAGACUCCACGUCUCCUCUAGUGCCUGUUUCUUUACUCCACCUCUCUUUCAACCAGGAUUUUGGAUGUUUCGCGGCGGGUACCGACCAUGGGUUCCGCAUAUACAAUUGCGACCCUUUCCGGGAGAUCUUCCGCCGGGACUUCGAUCGCGGCGGCGGUGGUAUCGGAGUUGUCGAAAUGCUUUUCCGUUGUAACAUUUUGGCUCUCGUUGGUGGUGGUUCCGAUCCUCAGUAUCCGCCAAACAAAGUCAUGAUCUGGGACGAUCACCAGAGUCGCUGCAUCGGAGAGCUGUCGUUCAGGUCUGAGGUUCGAUCAGUGAAGCUUAGACGGGAUAGAAUCAUUGUGGUGCUGGAGCAGAAAAUUUUUGUGUAUAAUUUCGCAGAUUUGAAACUGUUGCAUCAGAUUGAGACAAUUGCAAAUCCCAAAGGACUCUGUGCAGUGUCGCAGGGGGCGGGUUCAUUGGUAAUGGUUUGUCCAGGAUUGCAGAAGGGCCAAGUUAGGGUAGAGCAUUAUGCGUCCAAACGAACUAAAUUUAUUAUGGCUCAUGAUUCGAGGAUCGCUUGCUUUGCUCUCACGCAGGAUGGGCAGUUGCUGGCAACCGCUAGCACGAAAGGAACUCUGGUUCGGAUUUUCAACACAGCUGAUGGCACCCUGCUCCAAGAGGUAGUGCUUUUUUUUAAUUUUUUUUUCUCCUUAGAUUUCUUGGUAUAUGAAUUAUACUGCUGAACUCAAUUGAGUGCAUUUAGCUGCUUGUGUUCAUUAUAAAGUCUUGUUGGGACAAUGAAAUUGGCCUCAAUGGAAGUUUCUAGUAGUUAACUUCGUUGCAGAUAACGUGCUGUUAAGGCUAUCUAGAGCUGAUUAGAUAAGACAGAAUUAGAUAUGAACAUUGCUUAGAAAGAUAGAGUUAGCAUAUAUGUUAGUUUCACAACUAGUAGAGAACCUAUCAUCUCUGGAAUUCUUUGCAACCACAAAUAUUCUUUGCCAUUUAACUUCAAUAAUCUUGGCAAUAGGUAUUGGAUUUGCAUCACACUGUUUUGAAUUAUCUGGUCUGACAUUACGAGAAUUUUGCAUGGCAUUUGUGCCAAAGACAUCUGCUAACUGUUACUUUUUAGAAUUGCACAGGAUUUGUUAGGUUCACUUUUGUAGACAUUGAUUUUGAAUGGUCAGAUGCUUCACUAAAAUGGCUUUUGAAGGUAGGACUUGGGAUAAAACAGGAUUUUACUAAGUUUGGUAUUAUUCCAGGAGAUUUAGUGUUCAAACUGGGACAGUUACAUUAGAGGAUAUUUAUGCACACAGAUGGAUUUCUCAGGUUAUCUAGGUAGUUGAUUAAACUUUGGAAAUAACUUUGUGUUCUUAUUUGACUGAUUGCUUGCUAAAUUUAACAAAAUUAAAUGUGUGUAUGGGAUCUUGUUUAGGGAUUUGAAUUAAGUUUUUCCUAUGAAUAAUUUGUAGACGGUCGUGAAUUCAUGAAAUCAUUUAACAAUUGAUAGUCAAGGUCUCAAUUUAACGAAAUCUGUUAUUCUUCCUGCCAUCUCACUUGAUAUGAGUAUGAAGGAUUUGUUUUACGAGUGUCUUCAGUGUGUACGCCCAAAAAUGCAGUUUCGGAAAGAAGAAAGGAGCAAAGUAAAGCUUUACAUUGAUUAUAAUGGGGCUUGCGUAUGCUAGUUACUUUUUGAAUUCACUGCUCAGUAAAUCUUUGAUUUGACAUUGUGAGGUGAAAUUUGUUGUCUUUGUUUAAUCAAAUAGAUGAAUGAAGUAUAAAUCUUUAAGGUUUUGGUUCUAAUAACAGUUCAUAUUUAUUAUUAACUUACAAAAGUAUUCUAACAAAUCUUUUCAUGGUUCAGUGGGUAUAAUUCUUUUCCUUUUUUUUGGGGGUGGGGGGUGGGGGNNNNNNNNNNUGGGGGGUGGGGGUGGGGAGGCAGGGUAGGGAAGGUAGAUCCUGAUUGAUAAUUAUUAGUUCAAGAAAUUUCACCAAUUGAAUCUAAAUGGAUGAUUACCUACAGGUAAGAAGAGGUGCAGAUAGAGCAGAAAUUUAUAGUUUGGCUUUCUCUUCCACCGCCCAGUGGCUGGCAGUGUCAAGCGACAAGGGCACUGUCCAUGUUUUCAGCCUUAAGAUUAAUCCAGGAUCCCCAGGGACUGAUAAGUCAGGAAACACAACCGAUCCCAACAAUGCUGUCACAUCCCCAACCUCAUCUCUCUCGUUUUUUAAAGGUAAGAUUACCAUCUUCUACCCAGAGCAUGAAAUAUUUGUAAGUAAUGAUGUUGCUUUGCACAUUCUUGCAAUUGAGUUUGUGUGGAAUUUCUUGUAACAUGCCAUCCCUAGCUCCGACCCCCACAAAUACAAAGACAAAGCAUAUUAAAUGGCUUUCUGCUUGCAGGUGUUUUGCCCAAGUAUUUCAGCUCAGAGUGGUCAGUGGCUCAGUUCCGAUUGGUUGAGGGUUCUCAUUACAUUGUUGCUUUUGGUCACCAAAAGAAUACAGUUGUGAUUCUUGGCUUGGAUGGAAGGUAAGGAAAUGAUGGCGUUUGUACUUGGUUGGGGGAAUUGUGAUUUACACUUUACAGUAACUCUCUGGUGCAGUGAAUUUAAAAAAAAAAAAAAAAAAAAAAAAAAAAAAAAAAAAAAAAAAUCAGAUGUAUCAACCAAACUAGUUAGGCCUGUUUGCAAGAAUUGAUUAUUUUCUUACCCCAGCUUUCCCUUUACUUGCUAUUUAGGUUAUUUUCUCCUGGAGGAAAUUUAUUAUUUAUUUGAAAUUGGGUGUGAUUGCAGCUUCUACCGAUGUCAGUUCGACCCAGUGAAUGGUGGAGAGAUGACUCAACUGGAAUAUCACAACUUCUUGAAGCCAGAAGCUGCAUUCUGAAAGGACGUUCAUAUUAUAAAUUUCUUGGGGAUACGUGCAUAUAUAUAUAAUGUAAUUUUCUGUCCGUUUUUGGUGUUUCCUGAAUUAACUUGAUCUAGAAAUGACUGCAUUAUGCUGUAAAUAUGUAACUAUCUAUCUGUAAAGUACGUCAAAAAGGGAACCCAAAAAAAAGAAAAAAGAAAAAAAAAACAGAGGUGAGCGAAUGAGAUCAUUAUCUCUAUUUAUGUUGUAAUUACAUUAUAAUCAUAAUAUUAGACACCCUUAGUUAUUCCCAUUUCCCAGAAUUGAGCUCGAAUUGUGUUAGGGGCACAAGGUUUUGCAGACCAUCGCCUUCUUGUUUCUUUCUUUAUCCUCCUCUUUUCCUUUUUUUUUUUUAUAUAUAUAUUUUAACUGAGCUCUGGUGCGAACUAUUGGGAAUAGUAGUAGAGAGCUGUUAUGGAGGAUGCUGUGGAAAUUUAAGAAUGGUGGUAGUGCGAGGAGACAUUUGGCUUCUAGACUGAUUUUCCAGAACUGAAAAUCAAUCUCAACGACUAUAGAAAUGAGGAAUCAAUUUAUUUUAUGAAAUUUUUGAUUUAAUUAAAUAUGUAACGACACUAGCAGUGGUCAGAAUGAACGAGCAGAUUUUGAAAGAUGGAACAUAUGAUAUGAUGUUUGUUCCGUCUUCAAGUGUUGGAUAUGUUGCUAAUUGAAAUCAUUUUAGUUGUUGGCUUGUUAUUAUGGUCACCUGUUGUUUUCUGUUUGUUUAUUUAUGCCUGACAUCAUGGUAUGGCAUGGCUUACCUAACUGCUCUCAGCAAAUCAGGCGAAUAUUGCACGUGACUUGUCACAAUCGCUUUUUAUUGGGUCUUGGGUCUCGGGAGGAUCUUGCCGCUUGCCUUCGCUGUAGCCACUUCAUCUUUUUUAUUUUAUUUUUCUAUUAAGUAUAUAUUUCUAUAUAUAUAUAUAUAUAUAUAUAUAUAUUGUUGAAAAUAAAAUUUAAAUUUCACAUCCUACCAAUCAAAUACGACUCUGUUUAAUACAAGCUCGAUUGUGGACUCACUGAGAAGGGGGUUAAGGUAAACGAGUGAUUCCAAUUUGACGUUUUUUACUUGAAAUUCUGUGUAAUGUAAGAGAUACAAAUCUCUAGGCGAUUCCAUAAUUUUAAUAUGAUGCAGUGGGAAUUGCAGUUUGACUGCCGCUUCUUCUUUGUUACUAAGAUGAAUAUUUUUUAAUUACUUUGACAGUUUUUUGGUUUCAUCGCCCAUGUGAUUCAGAAGUCUAAUGGUCAAUUAUCAUCUGUGUUACAUCAUUUUUCCUUUCUUAUUCUUCUCUAUUUUAUACUACUACUACUACUUAAAAUUUCUAUUCCACUAACUUUAUGCAAUCGACAUCUUUGAUUUCUAUUUUCAUAAUUUUACCGCAUUAUCCAAACAUUCAUUUUAAUUAUAAAUAAUUAAAUGAAUGAAUUAUAAAGUGUUUCUCCAAAAUUUUUUGAAUUUGUUGGUUAUUAACUUGCAUUGAUUACCCACAAAUAAUAAUAAUAAUAAUAUUUUUUUAGAAAUAUAUUACUCCCUCAGUUUCAUUUUAAUAAUAAUAUUUUAUUUUUUCAUAAAAAUUAAAAAAAUAAUUAUAAUAUGUUGAUUUUCUCAAAUUUUAUUAACAUAUUUUUAAAAUUCAAAAUAACGUGUUAAAGUGAAAUAAAGUAAAAAUACAACAGGAGUAGAUUAUAAACGAAGCAUUCAUUAAUGUAAUUAAGCGAACGGAUCUUUAAUUAGUUUAAUAAAUGAAAUAAAUCUAUUAAUGAAUUCAUUGCUAACAAUCUAGAGCAAACACAUUAUAAAAAGGAGAAGAGGGCUUUCAUAUCUUUGCCUAUACGUAUAUACACCUAAAACUAGGUCAAAUCCAUCUUCUUUGAUCUCUCUCACACACUCACUCACAAACAGAUGGCGCUUAAGCUAUAUGGAGCGGCCAUGUCCACAAGCACCUCCCUCGUGCUAACCUGUCUGCACGAGAAAGAAGUAGAUUUUGAGUUCAUCCCUGUCGAUCUUUUCGCCGGCGAACAUAAACAGCCUCAUUUCGGAGCCAAAAAUGUACGCCUGCAAAUAUUUCCAUUCCUAUGAACAUAUAUAUAGCAGCUCAAUCUUUUUUGUGCAUUUAAUUAAUUACUUCUGUGUAAUUUUCAUGCAGCCCUUUGGUCAGGUUCCAGUGCUUGAGGAUGGUGAUCUCACUUUAUUUGGUAACCUCCAUUAAUUUCAUUUCUUUCUUAUUUCAACUAUAAAUAUUAAAUUAAUACCAUUAAUUUUUUUUUUUUUUUUUUUUGACCAGAAUCUAGAGCAAUCACAGCAUACAUAACUGAAAAAUACAAGGAACCAGGGUAUGAUCUAACGAGGCAUAAAAAACUUGAAGAAGCAGCAAUGGUGAAGGUGUGGAUAGAGGUAGAAUCUCAGCGAUAUAACCCUGCAAUAGCUCCAAUAGUGUACCAACUUUAUGUGGGGCCACUGAAAGGCGUUGCACCUGACGAAGCAAUCAUAGACACAAACAUAGAGAAGCUAAGAAAGGUGCUUGACAUAUACGAAGAAAGGCUGAGUUGCAGCAAAUACCUUGCAGGAGAUUUCUUCAGCUUAGCAGAUCUUCAUCAUCUUCCUUACACUUACUAUCUUAUGAAGACAUCUGCUGCUUCUGUCAUAAAUGAACGUCCACGUGUCAAGGCAUGGUGGGAUGAUAUCUCUUCUAGGCCAGCUUUCAAGAAAGUAGCAGAGGGUAUGAAUUUUGGUCAGAAAUGAAAUUUUCAUGAAUAAUCUACAAUUCAUGAGCUUCUUUAUAAUUAAGUUUGUAGGAAUGUUGAUUUUGAUUUACUAGUGUACUGAAAUAUUGAAACUACCUAUUUGCUGUUUUUAGUUUUUUUUUUUUUUUUUUUUAACUGAAAUAAAUGAAAUAUCACCUUCCAUCUUUUGAUUGAAAAAUAUAAAUUCAUAAAAUUAAAAGAUCUAUUAUUAAUAAAAUCAACGUAAUAGAGAAAAUUUAUAUUAAAAUUAUUAUGAAAUCUAUAAAUUCUAUAGAUUAUAAUCAAUUUUCUAUCAACUAAAUAAAGAAAUCUAUAAUUACGUUAGUAUUUAUUUCCGGCAGGAAAACAAGUUCGAAAGUUUUUUUUUGAUUGAAGAUUGUUAUUCUUAGUUUUUCUGUCUUUUAAUAAAAAAGACGCAUCAUGAGUAGAACCAAUUAAAUGUAAUUUAGCUGUGGGCCUGUGGCUCAAUUAUAGUAUACGUUGGACUGAAAAAUAAGGGCUGGAACAGUCCAAUAACUUUGGGCCAAAAUAUCUACCAAAGCCCUGACGAAUUAUCUUUUUUUUUUUUUUAAUUAUUAUUAUUAAGACUUUUUUUUAUAUAUAACCCUGAAAUGCUCAAUGGUCCCUAAAUCUUUAUUAAAUAACAACAAGUACAUGUAAUGGAUGCAUUUGCUCAUUUAGAUUAAUUAAUUAGUUAUCAUAAUUAAUCCAAACCAUUAAGAAGGUGUACCUAGCUGUCCACUAAUUAAAUAGACAUUAGUGCAUUAUAUUAAUCUUAAUUUAUUUUUAAUAUUAUAUUUUUGUGGGGUAAAUGAUCUGAAAAGCAUAUUCCCCUCUUUUUUCUUCUUGACUUCCACAUAUCGAUAACCCUAGUUGGGUUGGAUUGGGUUGAUGAUUUAGUUUUUGUCGGCCACGUCCAUGUACCUAACCGUUGUGUGCAUAAUCAAGUAAUUUUUUAUUUUAAAAUCAAAAAUAAUUUAUAAAGGUAGUUAUUAUAUAUAAUAUAAUAAAGAUGAUAUUUAAAAAAAUAUCAUUUAUUACUCAUUAAAUUAUUCAAGACGAUUUAUAUUUUAAAAUAAAAAAAUUAUUUUAAAAUGAUUUAUAUUUUUAAAUUGGGGGAGUACUAUUUUAAUUUAUUUCAUUCAUUAUUUUUACAAAUUUUAAUUUUUGAUUUGAUAAUUGAAUUUACUCGUAUUAAAAUGAUUAAAAUGUUGUAUUACGAUUAGUAAUAAAUUUGUGAAAAAAAUUAAUAUCAGUUUUAAAAUUCAGAUAUAACUAUAAAAUUAAAUCCCCAUGAAUUUUGCUUCUAAAAGGAAAGAAAAAGAAAAGAAAAAAAGAAAAAAGAAAAAUCCCAUUGUCUGUUUACCAACCGACAUCUAGAAUACUCUGUUUGAUGUUUAUCAUUCUAUUUAGCUUCUUUUUUAAUCAUUUAUUUACAUUGUUUAAGGUUUGGAGGCUUUGAUGCAACUUUUGUUCCUGUAUUCCUUUCCUUUUUAGCUGAAAUUCAAAUAACCAAUAGGAAAAAAGAAAAAAAAAAAGGUUAGAUUUGAAAUAAAUUAAUUUAUCUUAAUCUUAAUUUAAAAUUAGAAUAUUAACCCACAUUAAAUAAAAUUUUGUACAUCACCAAUAAGUCAAUAAAUAUAUAUAUUAGAAGCAUUUGUUUCUUUUUUUUUUUUAAUUUUCUAAUUUUACUCUAUAUUUAUUUACCCUUUUCAUUCAAAAAAGAUAAAUUUGUUUUUAUUUUUUUAUUUGUCCAAGGUAUAAGCAGUUACAAAUUCAUAUUGAAUACCUCCUUUAGUAUCAAUCGAUCCAAUUUCAAGUAAGUUUACAUUAUUCGCUUUAUUUUAAUGGAUUUUUCUUUUUUAAAAAUAUAAUUGAUUUGUUAAUUUUAUAUCCUUAUUUAAUAUGUUUCUAUCACCAAUUUGAAGUGAUAUUUUUAAAUAUAUAUUAAAAAAUAUAGAUAAAAAUUGUUAUUUAAAUAUAAAUUAAUUUUUUAUUUUUGUGAAAAUUGUCUUUCUGGAAUUUCACUCACCGGCUUUGAUGUGAGAGAAAGCAUUGACUGAAGGCUUAUUGAGCAUUGACCAGCAUAUGAGUUUAGACUUUGGACUUUCUGCACCCACCGCCCCACUCACCGAACUCAAGUAAGCAUUUUCUGCGUGACAUUUAUGACUCUUCUCCACCAAUGUCUUUCUACCUUUGAAGAAGAUGAAGAAAAAACAAAAAAUAAAUAAUCUCCAGAUAAAAUAAUCCUUUCUUUUUUUGUUUUUGUGUUAGUAUUUAUAUUCUUAUUAAAUAUACGAGCAGAAUCUGUUUAAUGUAUCUCCAAUCACAUUGAAUAAGGAUAGAAAUUGUCAAUUUUUGAAAAAGAUUUUUUAAAAACUUAUUUCCAUUUUAUUUUUAUUUUUUUAUGAAUAUAUGGUUAGAAAUAUUCUAUUUAAUUUAAAAAUUAUUUUAAUUAAUUUGAUGGAUGUAUUUAAUUAGACCACUUGUGUGGAAAGGAGAAGGCCGUCUCCACCCUUUCACCCAUUAAAUUCCGUCCAGGACUCAGCUUCUAGACAGAACCAUCAAUCAAAUCCUCUUCUUUGUUGUUCAAUCUUCAUCAUCCCACUUCAAUCAUGGCUGUCAUCAAAGUCCAUGGAAACCCUAUUUCAACCGCUACACAGAGAGUUCUAGCUACCCUCUACGAGAAAGAUUUAGAAUUUGAGUUUGUUCAUAUCGAUCUUGCCACGGGAGAGCACAAGAGGGAGCCUUUCAUUUCCCUAAAUGUAAGCAAACAUGUCCUUGUUCUUCUUCUUUUUUGUAGUUUCAAUAACUUUCUUAACCUCUUGUAACAUAAAACAUCUGUCUGGAUUAUGCAGCCAUUUGGUCAAGUCCCAGCUCUAGAACACGGAGAUCUCAAGCUCUUUGGUAUUUUUUCUAAUAAUUUCUUAUUUUUCCAUUAGUAUUUCUUUUAUAUAAAUUUAAUUCUGGCUGUGGUUCAACAAGCAAAUUCAGAGCUGUGGAAAGCAUUUUAAUAGUAUUGAGCUUCUUAUGGCUAGCGUUUUUAAUUACUUUUUGAACCACUUUGAAUGAUUACGGCAUGCAGAAUCAAGGGCAAUUACCCAAUACAUUACCCAUGAGAAUCCUGACAAGGGAACCCAGCUUCUUUGCCCAGGCAAGGUCAAGAUGCCAAUAUUAACAGUUUGGAUGGAAGUGGAGGCUCAAAAAUUUGAACCAGCAGCCUCAAAGCUCAACUGGGAAGUGUUUUUGAAGCCAAUUUUUGGUUUGACAACGGAUUCAGCUGCAGUAGAGGCGAAUGAAGCUGAGCUUUCUAAGGUUCUUGAUGUUUAUGAGGCAAGACUAGCUCAAUCUAAGUACUUGGCUUGUGAUUGCUUCACUUUGGUAGAUCUACACCACUUGCCUAACUUACAGCUGCUGUUAUUGACACAAAGCAAGAAAUUGAUCGAGUCAAGACCUCAUGUUAGCGCAUGGGCUGCUGAUAUUACAGCAAGACCAGCUUGGGCUAAGGUUCUUGCUAUGCAGAAGAAGUGAGAGGAGCUGGGGUUGCAUGGCUAUGGUCAUUUCUCUUCCAAUAAUUAAAGCUGUGUUCUAUUUCCCUUUUUUGGUGUCUUCUGCUGUGUGUGUGAUAUCAAUCUUCACGCGGAGAUUGAUUAUGUCGGUCUUACAUUUUAAAUAAAGUUUCUAGAAUUUUAUUAGUUUUUCUUUCCUUUUUUUUUUUUUUUUUUUUGUCUUCAAAUAUAUAUAUAAUAUUGAGAGGAUUAGGUUGACCAUGAACCAUACUCACAAUAAGUUUAGAACCUAUUUAGGUGAAGGUACUUAAUACAGGAUUGUGUCAUUAUAGAUUCUCAUGUGAGCUCUGGAAACUUCCCCCAGGUGAUGAAGAUAAAAAUUGGUAAACAUUUAAAUAAAAAAAAAAUUGCAAGUUAUCGAAUUUCUGGCGUAUGCCAUUUGCAUUUUCAUUUCUUACAAAAAAGGUAUAUUUUGACCAAAAUUAUUGUCUACUUGUUCCCAGUUCGAACAACCCCCGUCCUACGCCCAAGAAGGGGCGAAGAAGAAGAACUCUACCACAAUAAUUCUUAGCUUUGGUGGUUCAAAUUUAAUUAUGAUCACACUUGAUAUGCAUAUAUGGUCCUAUCAAACAACACAAAUAUCCCCACUCAACAUAAGGGAUAACUCGUUUAGUGCAUUCAAACACAAUGAAACAUGUUGUACUAACAAAUCAUAAUUGUAUCCUUCAGAUUGGAUUCCACAGAACUAGAGCCCGAGUCCUUCUUAAGUCCCUUCUCCUUCAUUAGCUCUCUUAUUUCUGCAGCAUCAGACCAUCUUCCCAUCUCUGAAUACAAAUUAGACAGAACUACAUAAUGAGCACUAUUACCUGGUUCCAAUUCGACAAGUUUCCUAGCAGCAAAUUCACUUAAUUCUAAAUUUCUAUGGACUCUACAGCCAGUCAACAAUGAUCCCCACAUAGACUUUGUAGGCUCGAAAGGAAUUUCUUUGAUGAUUUUGAAAGCAUAAUCAAGAUGCCCAGCACGAGCAAAGAGAUCAACCAUACAAGCAUAGUGCUUAGCAUUUGGUGAAAAUCCAUACUUCCCAACGACCAAUGAACUAAAUAUAUGUUGGCCCGUAUCAACCAAACCUGAGUGACUACAAGCACUAAGAACAUUCACCAAAGUGACUUCAUCUAGGUUUACACCUUCUUGCUCCAUCCUUUUGAAAAACAGAACAGCCUCCUUUCCACAUUUUGCAAAUGCUAGUCCAUUAAUAACUGAAUUCCAUGUGAAAAUGUUCUUCUCUUUCAUGCUUUUGAACACAUUUAAACCCUCAUGGAUUCUGCCACAUUUCACAUACAUAUCAAUCAACGAGGUCCCUAGAAUCACAUCUAAUUCCCAUCCAUUUUUCCUUAUAAAAUCAUGUAUCCAAACACCCAUUUCAAUGGCUCCAAGACUUGCACAUGCCCCUAACACAUUCACUAUCGUAACACGAUUAGGCACUACACCUUCAUAUUGCAUUUGCUCAAAAGCAAUCAACGCGUCAGCAUAGUUCAGAGCAUCCCUGUAUCCCAUGAUUAAAACAGUCCACGAAACAACAUCUCUUUCAGGCAUUUCAUCAAACAGUUUCCGACAAAGAGCCACUCGACCGCAUGACGCAUAAACAUUUAACAAAGAGUUCUGAACAUAAAUAUCAUUUAACUGACCUAACUUUAUAACAUGGGUAUGUACGCAUUGGCCUUGGUUGAAAUCCUUAAAGUCAGACAAGGACUUGAGAAGGAAAGGAAAGGUGUAAUUAUUAGGAGGAAUAGAAUUGUUGUUCAUGUAAAUAUAUAUCGACGAAGGAAUAUCAGGACAUUGAGAGUGAGAGAAGGCUUUUAUAAGAGUGUUGCAAGUGAAAACAUGGGGUUUAGUGUGGUGGGUGAAGAAGAGAGGGAGAGAAGAGUGCAAGAGGGAUAAAUUAUGGUAUUGGCAGGCAGUGAUGAAAUCGAGGGCAAUGGUGGUGUUGAAAUGGAGCUUAUGGAGGAUGAUCUGAGCUUGUAUUUGGUGGAUGUGAGACUGAGAAAUGCAAUUGUUCAAAAGAUGAAUGAUUCUGUUUGCUAUGGCGUUGAACUGAGAAUAAGGUAUCAUCGCUGUUUUUUCAAAUUUCAAAAACAACUAAAGCGUACGCUAUAGCCACGGACUGACGGACGUAAAUUUUUUGCUGGCCGCCGCCAUUAGCAAGUUUGCAAAAAUAUUCGACAACAGCAUUGCGCAUCCAGGGAAUCGAACCCUGGUCAGUACCGUGGGAGGGUACUAUGAUACCACUACACCAGAUGCGCAAUCGAUGCAUUCGGUUUAGAAAUGUAUUUAUUUAAUAUAAAAGAUGGCGAUGACGGCCCUGCAAUAGGCUUCUCGCCCCCCAGUCGUCGCGAUAGGUCGUUCGGUUUAUAGUCGAGUUUCACUUACGUCCUUCGUGUUUGUAACCUGUACAUUCGUAACAGACCAAGGAGAAAAAUCCCCAAAAUAGAGGGGAAAAAAAAGGUAGUAAGUAGUGAAAAGUUAGAUUGAGAAUGAGGAUAGUGGGUUUGACGGGCGGAAUAGCGUCCGGAAAGAGUACUGUCUCCAAUCUUUUCAAAUCCCAUGGGAUUCCCGUUGUUGAUGCCGAUCGCGUCGCUCGUGUAGGCUCUUUUUCUGCUCUGUUCAUUUUCAUUUUCUUAAUCAACUUCUUCUACUGUCCAUUUGAGCGAAUUCAAUUGAAUGUUUUUUUUGUUUUAUUUUUUGAAUUUUUGCAUAUUCUAAGAUGAGACCAAGGUUUUUGUUUGUUAAUAUUGAAGUUUUUAAUGCUGAAUCAUUAGCACUAAAUUCUGAAUUUUUGUACCUUCGAAAAUUAGAAUUUGCCUUUCGAUUAAAAUUAAUAAAAUUUUCCGAUUGGUGCAUUUUUUUUUUCUCCGUAAGUUUUCAUUGCUUGACAUCUGUUAUUCUGGAAUUUUCCUUAUACCUUUUCUCGUUGCAGGACGUUCUGAAGAAAGAUACCGGUGGCUAUAAGAAGGUAGCCGCAGCAUUUGGAGAUGAUAUCUUGCAAGUUAAUGGGGAAGUUGAUCGAGCAAAACUGGGCCAGAUUGUAUUCUCCGAUCCUGCAAAGCGCCAACUUCUUAAUCGGUAGAGAUCGCUUUGCAUUGAGUGUUCCAUUAUCAACUGAAAAAUUGUAUGCUUUAAUACUUUUAAUACUUAUCAGUGUAUGAAGUAAAUAUUGAAUGAAUGAGUAAUAGAUAGAUAUAUUAUAACUGAAAAAGUUUUGGUUCCCAUCAUGUAACACAGAGGUUAUUAAAACUUUUCCAUAUGAUUUCAUCUGGUUUAUUCAGAAUUGAGAAUCAUGCUUGUGAAUGCUGUUUUAUAAAAUCACCAUUUUGAUGUGAAUCUAUCUGCCUGGUUCUGCAGAACGACAUGAGCUGUGUAGUUUUUGAUGUUCCAUUGACAUUUGGUUAAUUUGGUGCUUGCUGGCUUAGGAUAAAUGGUUUAAUUUCAUUUGUUGAAGCAUUUCAACAAAAGAAAUCAACUUGAUAGUUCAAUUUAGCAAUCAUGAAUUCAUGUUCACCAAGCAUAUCAUCUACAUCUACAUAACCUUGAAGCAAUUUCUUUUGAAUGUAAUGUCCUAUGCUUGAAGUUCUAAUACCUGAGUUUCUAAUUGCGUCAGGUAUAUAUUCUCAUUAUCUGGAAUACCAUGCUGAUAAAGCAGUAUUGGCUUUGCCUAAAUAAGCCAAGGUAUUCUUGGUAAUUCGUCAUAGUGUAGUUGUGUAUAACAAAUGUUAUGGAAUUGCUAGUUACGCUACUUCUUUGGACAUUAUGUCCUUGCAGAUUAUUGGCGCCCUAUAUAUCUUCUGGCAUCUUUUGCAAGAUUUUGAAACUGUGGUUAAGGGGGUGUAAGGUAAUUGUCCUUGACAUCCCUUUGUUGUUUGAGGCCAAGAUGGAUAAAUGGACAAAACCCAUUAUUGUUGUAUGGGUUGAUACAGAAAUACAGCUUCGACGGCUCAUGGCAAGAGACGGAUCCAGUGAAGAGGAUGCCAGAAAUAGGAUCAAUGCUCAGAUGGCUUUGGAUUUAAAACGAACUAAAGCAGACAUUGUUAUUGAUAACACUGGCUCAUUAGAGGAGUUGGAAAGGCAGUUUCAGAAGGUAUUAUUCCAGGUUACUAGGCCCUUGACAUGGACUGAAUUCUGGCUUUCAAGACAGGGAGCCUUCAUGGCUCUGAUUUCCAUUAUAAUUGGGGUUGUUCUUGGUAAAAAGGUUUAUGGACAUCAUAAUCAAGAAUCUCAAAACUAGAUAGCUUCAUAAUUUCAAGCAUCUUGUUAAUCAAAAAGAAAUUUUCAGUGUAUUUGAACUCAAGCUAUUUGUAUCUCAAGCCAAUACCUGUAACAUUCAAUUUUUCUUGGAAUGUGAUAUUUGAUCAUUGAAUGCAUUUGUAUUUGUUUAAACAACUUCUUAAGAUGUUCUUUUUAUUAGAGAAUCAAAGGAAAAUGUAUUUUUAAAUUCAAAUUUGCUAAUCAAAUGAUAGAUACGGAAUGCAAGUUCCUGAGUAUGAAAGACAUUUAGUUUCAUACUUAUUCAUAAUGAUUUAUUAAAGUUAGAAUCAAUUUCUUCUGUGAUGUUAAGCGGUUAUUUUGGAGGUCAAGAAUUAUUUUCUAAGCGAACUCUGGACUCAUCAAACUAAUCCUGCAAGAUACUGUGAAAUCUUGUUGAAGAUAUGCAACUCAAAUGUCUCUUGGUGUAUGGAAUUGCCGAUGAAGCUCAAUCUUCUAGAGCUGAUUGGUUGGUUGGGAUUCAUUGAAAGAAAUUCUAUCUUAGCCUUUUACUUCUGACUGUUCCAGGUCUUCUAUUGCUAUGAUCUUAUGUAACCUAUUCCAGAAUUCAGUUUUCCCUUAUUUACCAUUAUUACUUCAGUAUAAUGUACUUUAACUUUGAACAUCUAGUACGUACAUCUAGUACUUUCUGUUGACUAUACUCUCAUAUAAUUGCCAUUGCUGUCAAUUUCCAUUAAAUUGAAAUUACUGUUCUUUAUGUUGUUGAAAAUUACAGCCAUAUCUCCAGCUGCUGUUUCAAUUGGUCAAGCUGAAUUUGAAUCGCUUUUGGUGUGUGAUGUCGCCUUUUCCCUUGGAUGUUGAAAGAUCAAGGUGUUGUCGAGUCCGAAGUGAGCCUAAUCCAUUUUCAACGAGGUUGUCCACUGCAUUAAGAUUCUUAUAGACAUCAGAUGUUAUUAAUUUAUUAUUCAGGUUUGAAUACUCAUCUUUUUAAUGGCACAGCAUUUUCAUAUUGACUAUUAGACAAAGAAAAUAAAGCAGGAGUAUUCAGUGCCAAGUGUUGUCACAAAUCACACUAGCUGUAACUUGAAGACCAUUGGCUUAUAAAAAGUGGGAGACAAGUAGGAUCGACUUUAUUAACCAUUUACAUGCUGCUUUAAAAAUUUUAAUCACACUUUUUGCCCUGUAAUUUACAAUUAUAUCUUGAAUGCUAAAUAUAAUGGAAACAAUAGUGGUAACUGACAAUUUCUUCUGCAAAGUUGGCAAGUAUGUGAUGGCUAUAGUUUUAUAUUGUACAUAAUGAAUGCUUAUCAAUUCAUAAUUCUUUAAUCUAUUUAAUGUUAGUAAGUGUUUAUUCUCUCUUUUUUUCUCCCCUUUUCUCGUCUUUCUUAAUUUUGUGCUCAGAUGCUGAAAGUUGUUUAAAGAACAAGGUUACAGCGUCCGCCUUCUUAAAAAUUUCUUCUCAGGUUCGUUUUGUGACCAUGCAUUUCAGUCUUCACUUCCCAGGUCGUUUUUGUGAUAGUGAUCAUUCAUUGCUGAAAUUUUGGUUACUUCUACUCUAAAACUCAUAUGUUGCAAUCUUAAAAAAAAUUGCUAGUUGUUGAUGCUGAUGUAUCUACAGUUCAAAAUAAGAAAAGAACACUGUAGAAAUGUACUACUACUGAGUUAGAGGUCAUGCAAAAAUUAUUAUUACUUUUGUGCUCUGAGACAGCAUAAUGUUCAUGAUUGAGAAAAAUAAUGUUUUAUAAUUUAAGAAAUGUUUUUUUUGAAGUCCUUACCUAACUUUGCAGAAAAAAAUCUGGACCCGGUCAUUCAAGGAACAAUAUGUACUAACUACUAAGGGAAUUUGAAUCGAAAUGACAAAAUAUUAGUUGUCCUGCAGUCCCCAGUGAGUCUGGUUAUGGUAUUGUUGGCAUCAGAACUGGCUCGAGCUGAAUAACCAGAUUAUAUUUAGGGAAAACAUUGGGUUUUUGGUUCCACAUUAGCAACAUGUUGCAUCAAGUAUAGAAUCUGUCAGAAGUACUAGCAAGUAACACUAUUUUCAUGCUUUGUUAAACUUGAAAUAGGAAUUUGGUUAUUGAGAAAUUGAAUUUUGAGUGGUCAAGUGAUUUUAUUUUCUUUUUAUCUCGGACCUGACCUCAAUUACAAGUUAAACACACAGUCACUAAGCUACUAACUGAAUAGCAGUUGAGUUAGUUUUAAAAUUAACCUCAUGAUUAGACUUCCAUUUGAAUAAUAUUGUUUCAAGCUUUUUGACAGUCCUUCUCCUUCCCUCAUAGCCUUCACAUUGUUUUCCUGUAAUACUGGCAACCCACAAUCUUUUUGCCAAAUACAAAGAGAACCCAAUGAUGGUGUAUCAAUAAUUGAUGAAGCUUUUCUUUAAUUUGGAGUUAAAAUGAGACUCUUGUGCAUUUGUGGUGUCCUGUCCUCUAAAUGUCUGUCAAAUCUAUAUAUAUAGCUUUUAUCUUUCACGUACUGAUUUUUUCUUUUUUUCUUUUUUCUUUUUUUUUUUUUUUUUUUUGUUUUUUUCUAAUCAUUGUAUGUGCCUUUGAGCAGUCUUCUAUCACUGAAAAUUUUUUUUUCCAAGUUUUUGUUCCCCAACCAGGCAACCAACUAUCCAACGAGAGACUUGUAUUGGUAAGCUAAUUAGAGUGAGUUGAAAAGCCAGGAAAAGACCUUUUGCUAUUAUGCUAGUUAGCGUCGUGGAGGUUAGCAAGGUAGCAAGAACAGGGCCUUCCAGUUUCUGGUUUACUUAAAUUAAGAAUUUUCAUGAAGAAGACUAGGGGGCUAGCGAACCAAUCAUUUGGGCUGAUGACUUGGAAGUAACUGCUGGUGUGAGAGAAAUUGUAAAACAAGAGAGAGAGAUGCUUCUAUUACACGUCUAACGUUGUAACUCUUUUACCUUGGACUGAAGAUACCUAUCCGGUUAGUAUCAAUAUAUAAAGAAUUAUCUACACCAUAUAUAUGAGACCAUGCAUAUACGCUGCACUAAAUCAAUUAAAAAUAUUUUUUUCUAAAAAAUAAUUAUUAUUGUCUAUUUUUUUCUCAGUCCUGUAUGCACUCAUUUGAGUACAAAUCUGUUUUUAAUUAGUUUGAGGUGUGUAUAUAUCUAUCAAGUCUUUAAUCUCAACUAUGCCAAAUUCUUUAAAACUGGAACUUUUUUUUGUUAAAAAAAAAAAUUAAAAGGAUUAAUUUGAAUAGCUUUCUUUUACUUACUUUUAAAGGAUUAAUUUUCUAAUAAUUUAAAUAAAAAAAUUCAAAGGGUAGAUAUGUCCAACAUUUAUAGUAGCAUCUAAUAGUAGGCAGUCCUUUUCUUAAAGAUCAUAAAAAUUCUUUUUUAUUUUUUCACCCUUUUUUAUCAUAAAUUAUCACUCAAUUAAUGUAAUAAAUAUUUGUAGUGGAGAUCUAAAAAUGAAGUGAUAUAUCCAUAGUGCUUUUGAUGGUCUUAUCCCUCAGAAUGGUGCUGGGAGUAAGUCUGUGACAAAACCAAUUAACAAUUUCCACCAUACAUGCUCCUGCUGCUUUCGCAUUGUACAAAAGGAGCAAAGUAAUUAAAGGCCAAAAGGCAGUCCAAAGCGAAUUGCCCUUCCACAUGAGGAGAGGAUAGACUAGGUACUAGACAGUGGCCCUGGGUAUUCACGUGACUCUAUCACGUGACUAAUUAUCUAAAUUCUGAUAGCGCAAUCAUAGAUUGAUUCAAUAGCUAAUGAAGCUUCCUUCUAUUAAUAUUUUUGGGGUGACUAGCUUCCACACACGCACACACACGAUAUAUCUCUUUUAUUCUCUCUUUUUUAUUUUUCUGUUUGAGAGCUCUUUUUACUUCCAUCUUACUCUAUUCCCUCUUCUUUACUCCCAAUUCAUAAACAUCGAACCUCCCCUUUCCUCUCAGCUCUCUCUCUCAUCAAGAUGACACCAAAACCAGCUGACGGGCCAAUGGAGCAGCUGAAAUACCAGGUGAAUAUAUACAUAUGUGGUCUUUUUCUAUGUCUAUUCAUUUUCUUUUCUCAACUGUUAUUUAAUUUCCAAUCCAUUAACUUCUCCACUUUUUCACAGACAUGGGUCUUGAAGGUCUCAAUCCACUGUGAAGGCUGCAAGAAGAAAGUCAAGAAAGUUCUUCAUGGAAUCGAUGGUAUUAUUAUUUUUGUUUAUGUAAACCAUUAACCAUAGUUGAUCUUUCCUUUAUGUUUCUUAUUCUGAAUCUCCACUUUAUUUAAUAUGUAUAUUCCCUGUCAUUCCUUGAGCAUGCAGGUGUUUAUAUGACAGAUGUCGACUCUCGGCAGCAUAAAGUUACAGUAACUGGGAAUGUAGACGCGGAGACUCUUAUCAAGAAACUGGCAAGAUCAGGAAAACAUGCAGAACUUUGGCCUGAAAAGCCAGAGAAGAAAGAUAACGAGUCAGGAAAAUCCAAGACCGAUGGAAAACAGAAAGAUCAUCAGGAAGUUGGCGGCGGUGGUGAUGAUGGAAACAAUGAUAAUAAUAAUCCACCAGAAAAGCCUGAGACUGUCACUAAAAGUGGCGGUGAUCAACUUUCACGGGAUAGAGAGAGCGAAGAGGCUGGUGGAGAAACCCCUGCUGCUGCUGCUGAUGGUGGUGGUGGAGGUGGAAAUGGAAGUAGUGGAGGUAAAAAGAAAAAAAAGAAUAAGAAGAAAGCGCAAAAUGGUAAUUCUAACAAUGUUGACGGAAAUAGUGGUGAUAAUCCCGGUGGCGCACCACCAUCGGAUGCAGGAUCUUCUUCAUCUGCCAGUUCAGAGCCAAUGCCUCCAAAACCAAUAGAGCACAGCCCUCCGAUACAUCAAUAUGUAUAUCCAUAUCCACCAACAUAUUAUGCACCUCCUCCGGCAUACGGAGUAAACUACAACACAACCUACUCGGGUGCUAGUGAAUCUUACUAUGCACCUUCCGUACAUGGUCAUGUGUUUUUUUCUCAGCCUGAGUGGUACCAGCCACCAACUCCACCAUCUGAACCGAUGAACAAGAUGGAUCAUCGAGAUGAUUAUGAUGGUGGAUGCUCAAUUAUGUGAUUGAUGAGGGUGUAUGUAACAAUCUGUGUACUAGCUUUAUAAUAAUUACUUUUGUAAUUAGAAGUUUAGUGGAAAGCUGCGGGAGAAAUUUGCACAAAAAAAAAAAAAAGAAAAAAAAAGUGGGGUGUUAUGACUUAUAUAAGGGGAUUUUGGAGGCGUACGUCCUUAGUUUAAUAGAAUGUUUGGUUAUUUUUAAAUUUAUUCUCCUGGAAAUCUUCCUUUUCCUCUCUUUAACGUGUGACUGUGAAGGAUAUUUUUGUUCAUCUCACUGCCAUGGAAAAUGGCACAAGUAUAUGAAGGUGACUUGACGCGGCGAAUAGUGCGGUAAAGGAUUAACACACAAUUAAAAUUUCUUAAAAAUAAACAAAAUCUAACCUAAAAUUUUCAAUUCAGAAUUUUAGGAAAAUAAACCAAUCACAGGCUUUUUGGAAAAAAUUACGAAUAAAAAAAUUUAUAUAAAAUAUAAAGAAUAUAAAGAUUUAUAUCGAUCUAUGGAUCCUAACCUAAUAAAUAGGAAUGAAUUUAAACUUGUAACAUAAAAAUUGGUGGAACUUCUGAACCAUUUUACCUUUGGGGAAAUGCUUAAAGUUAUCCUUUAUGAACUUUCUCAAAAAAAAAAAAAAAAGGAAGUUUCUUUUAAGAAAGCAAUCUUUUCCUCUCAUCUCUGUAUGUAUCUUUUGCUUUCAAUGCUAGCCAAAGGGAAGAGAUACGAUCAAAUGGACUCAAACUUUUCGUAGAAAAGCUUGUUUCUGUUAGUAAUUUUUAAGUUCAUGGAAAAGCUUUUUUUUUUUUUUUUUUUUUAAAAAAAAGCAUUAUCUUUUGCUAAUUAAUGCAUGUAAAUCUUAGUUAUUGUAAUAAUUAAGCAGAGGUUUAAACUUUAAAAACAGCUUUUUUCUUUUAUGACAAAUCUAUAGGACAUGCUUCAACAAUAAUGAUAAAAUCCUAUCCACAGCAGAAUAUUCACAGUGGAUUAUACUUGUUCCAUGUCCUGGAAAAAGAAAAGGGAAUGUAAAUUAUAUGUAUUAUUUUUUAGCAUUAUAUUAUUCUUUCUAGAAAGCUCUUUCAUUUUGAUUCCAAGACUAGGGCUAGCCAGUCAAUCACCGAGUAUGGAAAUACCUGAUAAAUCUUUUCCAUCAACUUUCUGUUGCAAAUAUAUAGAAUGAAUCAUAAUUGAUUUCUGGGCCCCAACAUGAAUUCAAUUGUAUAGAUUCUAGAAAACACUCCAACUCCUUUUUUUUUCUUUUUUUUUUUUUUAAUAAAAAAAUAAAAUAACAACAUCUAUAAAUUAAUCCCCAUGCAGGUGUUUUUUUUUAGGGUUCAAUCAAAUAUUAGUAAUUGCUACAAAUUAAACACAUUAAGAUUAGAAAUGAAAUGAAAUGGAAUAAUAUGUAUAUAGCAAGUUAAAUGGAAGGGACAGAACGAAGAUAUUGUAAGAUAUUUGAUGUGAAAGUAAUGAAAUGAACAGAGACGAUAAAUGCUGGGUUGUUCAUUUUCAACUUAUGUAUAUAUAAAGAGAAUCUUACACAGUCCAAAAGCAAAUUCAAUUCUCCUCUUUUCUUUCUUUUCCUGAUUUUAUCUGUAAUUUUUAUUAUUUACUUCAUGUAAUGCAAUGGUAAUUCAGAAAUUUGAUUAAUUAAUAGUUUAAUAAUUAACUAUUUCCUUGUGUAAAAUUAGAAUUUAAAAUUUGAAAAUUUCAUUAUUUAUUUUUUAUAUUUCAUAAUAAGAAUAGGCGUAUUUUCCUACUUCUAAUUAUAUAUCCUUUUAUUUUGUAAAUAAUAUUCUCCUAUUCAAUUUAAUUUAUUACCAACAUUUUUUUCCAUAUUUACUGUUUAAAUUAUAUUAAUUAAUUUUUCUUUAAUAAGUAGAAAACAAAAGUAAAUUUAUUUUUAUAAAACGAGGAAAAUGCUAAAAAAAUCAUGAAUAGUGAUAACAUAGGUGGUGGGGACAUAAAAAACACGACAAUAAUGAUGGCUGAACUACAUCACCAACAACAUUCAUAGCCAAAGUGAUUUGAUAGAUUUGAUAUUAAUUGAUUAAAAAAAAUAAGUCUGUGUUCCUAUGAAGGAUGGCUCACUCACUCACGUCGAUGUGACUUAUUGGAUCGGACCACAAUUCCAGCCCACAAUCCGUGAUUCUGAAUUCGUAAGAGUUCAUAUUGGCAUUGGGCCAAGAAGAUUCUUAACUAUAAAUGGGCUUAGCCCAUUAACCUGCAGUAGAGGAGAAGGUAAAGGUAACAUAGGUGCAACUCUUCCAUAUUGGCUGUACAUCCCUUUUGUCACAUCGCAUGUGGCUUACAUCACGGCAUCAGCAAUUGGUUGUCACAGAACAAAAGCACAGAAAAUGGUGAAUAAUGUCGUAACAUUUUUUGAUAUCCAAGUGUCAACAUAAAUAAAAAAAAUUCUGAUUCGAAAGUGCCAUUUAACUAACAAAAUUCCAAGUAUAUAUUUGAAAAGAAGAAAGCAUGUUGCAUUUAUUAUAUUCGAAUAUUUCAUUUCUCAAUUUUUUUUAUCAUAAUAUUCGAAUAUUUUCAUUAAUUGAUUUUUUAUUAUCUAAUAAUUCAUAAUUCUAAUGUCAAUAUUCAUAUUUAAAACAUGAAUAAACAUCCUACAUUUUUACUUAUUAAGAAAUAUUUUAACUUUUAUAUGGAUAAACCAAUUAGCUAUGUCUGAUCAGUCUACUCAUUUAUAUAAAUAGUCAAAGAUCUCAAGUUUGAGUAUACGAUAUUCUUGUUGAGCCUCCUAAUCAAAAAAUUAUAUUGAUAAAUUAGAAUUCUUUGAAAAAAAAAACAAACAGCACAUGUAUAAGCUAUCAACCGGAUAUUGAAUAUAAAAAAAUUGACUAUUUUCUUAGAAAAAUUUUAUUUAGAAGCACAAAUAUAAAUUAUUAUUUCAAGCAAACUUUAGGUAUAAUUAUAGGUGUGGAUAAAAAAAACAAAUAAAUAUAUAUUUAUGUAUUAAAUUUUCUAAAUUUAAGCAUCAUAAUUACCAAUGAAAAACAAAUAAAUAACGAAUAGGAAAUGCUUUGUAUAAAAAAAAGGAUAAACAUACAUUUAUGCCGUAUUAAAAUUUUUAAAUUUCAUCUAUGAGCUGUGGUUUAGUUGGCAACACAGAUUAAGUGUGUGAGAAAAACUUUUGGAUUCGAGCCCCGUUAAAUGCAUAUGUAGGAAGACAUAUCGGUAAUGGUGUCUAUAAAAUCUGAAUAUUAGUGGUUUAAAAAAAAAUCUAAAUUUCAAUAUCACAAUUAAAAACGGAAAACAAAUAAAUGCUGAAUAGGAAAUGCUUUUACAUUUUUCCAGGAAAGAUACCAAAAACAAAAAAAUCUUAUCUUCCAUUAUACGUUGCCAAGCAUAUCCAAUUAAAAUAUAAGGCAAUAAGGAAAAUAUAGAGCCAAGAAAACAGGUGGAAACAAUUAAUAAUGCAAAGAAAUAUAAUAAAAUAAUAAAAUAGCAAGUAGACAAUUAUUAAGCUGAUCUGUCUUCCACAACACGAAAGAAAAAGAAUCUCUAAAACCCUUAUCAGAAUAGAAUAUGAUAAGACACCAUUUACAUUAUCAGUUGAUGCUCUUUUUCUUUCUUUGUCUAUAUAAAUCUCCACCAUUUCUUCUUCAGCUCUGAUAUCUUGGCCACCAAAUUAACCAACUCCUAUUGCCAAUUAUGAAGCCUCACAGUCACAGCCUCACCCUCUCCAACGAUGCUUCUUCUCUAACCCAUGAUCAUCAGUCCAAGAGAACCUUUGGACAGAAGGUCAAGCAGGCUUACGAUGCUGCAAGAAACAGCGUCGUAAAGGGAAAUAAUACUACAACUACUAGUCUUCGGCUUCCAAAAGAAAACGAAAGACGAAACUGGAGCUAUUGUGCAGAAGAUCCCAUUAGAACUAUGAUGUUCUUGGGAUCUUGGGGUCACACUUGAUAUCAUCUUCUUCUAACCUUCCUUACAAUGAACUUUCUUCAACUUGGAUCCAAACAGAUUCAAGAAACUGUUUCUUGAAUAUAUAUAUACGGUGCUGAUGCCUAAUAAUUUGUCAAGAAACUAAAUCUUUAUUGGUAAAAAAUAUGAUGUACAUGUGUAUCAGCUAAAAGAAAAAACUCCUUAAGGAUCUAAUAAUCUAGAGUGUAAUUAAGCUUUGGAUUGUAAAAAAAUAAUAUAGCAGUGAUUAUGGUGAUAUCUGGCAUUGUAUAAUUAAUUUCCUGAAUCUUGAUUCUAUAUUCAGUAUUUUGUUAACUGCAGCUGCUAUAUACAUAUAUAUGUGUGUUUUAUGGAUUUUUGGAUAUAUAUGUAUAUAUAUAUUUUAUCAAUUUCAAUUCAAUGAACCAACGGUUCAAAUUUCUCCAAACCUUGAGCUUGAAUCAAUUCUUCAGUUAGUGGUUCUGAUUUGAGUCAAAUCUGUCAGCCAAUGUUAUGACACAUUGGCACCACACAUGUUCUUUUCCCCGAAAAUAAUAGUCUUGGUGUUACGUGUAACCAAUGGAAAUUUGAAUAAAUGUUAAUAAAAUUUUAAAGAUUCUAUUAACCUAACAAAUUAAAAAAAAAAUUAUAAAUAUUCAAUCACAAAGAAAUUAUGAUUGUUGUUUACAAAAGUUCAUUGUUUAUUAAUGUAG